Molecule: ribosomal RNA, 253 nt
Filed under: uncultured bacterium
Lineage: Bacteria
Description: partial 16S ribosomal RNA
Rfam family: Bacterial small subunit ribosomal RNA
Source: RNAcentral
UACAGAGGUCCCAAGCGUUGUUCGGAUUCACUGGGCGUAAAGGGUGCGUAGGUGGUGAGGUAAGUCGGAUGUGAAAGCUCGGAGCUCAACUCCGAAAUGGCAUUGGAAACUACCUUGCUCGAGGGUUGGAGGGGGGACUGGAAUGCUUGAUGUAGCAGUGAAAUGCGUAGAUAUCAAGCAGAACACCUGCGGCGAAGGCGGCCUUCUGGACGAUGACUGACGCUGAGACGCGAAAGCGUGGGGAGCAAACAGG